UACGUAGGUGACAAGCGUUGUCCGGAUUUACUGGGCGUAAAGAGCGCGCAGGCGGUCGUUCAAGUCGAGUGUGAAAGCCCCCGGCUCAACUGGGGAGGGUCACUCGAUACUGAUCGACUCGAAGGCAGGAGAGGGAAGUGGAAUUCCCGGUGUAGUGGUGAAAUGCGUAGAUAUCGGGAGGAACACCAGUGGCGAAGGCGGCAUCCUGGACCGGUAUUGACGCUGAGGCGCGAAAGCCAGGGGAGCAAACGGG
RNAcentral lists this ribosomal RNA (253 nucleotides) under uncultured bacterium. RNAcentral describes it as "partial 16S ribosomal RNA". It matches the Rfam family "Bacterial small subunit ribosomal RNA", at positions 524 to 776 of the family's 1533-position model. The record is from RNAcentral.